UGCCUAUGAAGGGCAGUUUGUGCGCUGCCGG
This 31-nucleotide non-coding RNA is filed under the name Homo sapiens (human). Lineage: Eukaryota; Metazoa; Chordata; Mammalia; Primates; Hominidae. The record is from RNAcentral.